GAUGGUUUGGCCGAGUGGUCUAAGGCGCCAGAUUUAGGCUCUGGUCCGAAAGGGCGUGGGUUCAAAUCCACAGCCGUCA
Molecule: transfer RNA, 79 nt
Organism: Ipomoea nil (Japanese morning glory)
Lineage: Eukaryota; Viridiplantae; Streptophyta; Magnoliopsida; Solanales; Convolvulaceae
Rfam family: tRNA
About the family: Transfer RNA (tRNA) molecules are approximately 80 nucleotides in length. Their secondary structure includes four short double-helical elements and three loops (D, anti-codon, and T loops).
Source: Rfam